UCUAGUGUCUCGUUCGUUUCUCGGACUCACCGAUGGUAUGUAUGGCUGUACACACGAGCGCGUAUUCUACAAAUUGUUCGGCCAAGAACGCCGUGGCGAUCGUACAGCGUGAAAUUAUUUAACGAUAGGAUACGGGGGAACAGUUGGCGCAAUGGGGAGAUACCGGGGCUGAAGAGUGCAAUUGUCGCGUAACAAACAAUUAGUUCGUAGCCAUCGCUACCUGGAUGCAAGGGGGAAAGGGCAGAUACCUGGCGAAGAACCUGGUAUAGAAAAUGGUAGAGUGGAACGGGGGCCAAUACACGAUGGACGGAGCUCGAGGACCAGGUACUCUCUCGGGAGACGAGAAACUUUACAAUCGACUAUCUAAAAAUACACUCUUUCAUCGGGAGAUGAUAAAAAUUAACGGACAGAGUUUUCAUUCCUUCAAACUCUUCGUACAAGUUUUAUAACGCUUCUUUCGCGUUUAAAGGAUUGUUGAACACGAAUUACCAGCUGCGCCGUUUAAACCUGCGACGCUCUGUCUUCUUGCCUCGUAUAUUUCUUUUCCCCCAACCUAACGUUCACCCAUUUACCUUUACACCAGAAUGCGCCUCAUAUAUGCCCUUCGCUGCACCACGAUGACCGUCGACCCGGAAACUCGACAACUCUCGUCCUCCCUGCGACGCGAGAUGCAUGCCAAUUUUCUGUACAUACGUGUUUCUAUACACGCAGGGAAAUCCGGCGAGAUGCGCUUUUUAAUCGCGAGAUAUCGCCCGUUGUUUCGUCACGUCGAGUUCGUCGGUGAACAGGGUGUGCACAAUGCUUUUGGUCUUUCGCAGAGAAUUGUUUAGACAUUGAUGGUUGAAAAAUUUCACUCAGCGUAUAUUAAUAUCUCUUCGCGUGUCCUGUUUGUGUAUAUUUAUAUAGAAGAAAUUGAAGUUGUAAGCGAUGGAAAAAAAUUUUAAUCGAUCUUCGAGCAAAGUAAUUGGAUGACCUCGAUCGAUCGAAUAUUGAAAUUGAUAAUUUUUUGUGUUAAAUCGUUGGAAAGUGUUGAAAGUUGAAAGUUAAUAUGUAAGAAUGAUAGUGUGGAUGAUUUGUAUCAUUGAAGAAAUAUGUGUGAAAGAAGAGAAGACACGAAUGGAAGGAACGAAUAAAUCGUUACGGGAAUGAAUAACAUAUAUUGUUAAUAUUAAUAGCGGUAUGUUUUAAGCAACAUCGAUAAAAGAAUUGGUAAAUAUUUGAGGGAAUACUACACCAUUGUUCCAACUUGCAAUUUAUUGAUUUAUACAUUUUAAUUCUUUUCUUCUUUUUUGCAUACUUUUGUAUCGUUUGCGAUAUCGUUUCUAGAUUUAUUUCCUUAUCUCUUCUUAUCGACAAUCGUAACGUAUCAUAAUGAUCUCGAAGGAAAGGGAAAAUUUAAUCGAUGAUCGGUUGUUCUCGUUAUAUGAAACUGUGUAUAUUACAGAAAUGAAAUCUGUGUUAUAUAAUAUUCUAUUUUAUUUUAUCUUUUUUUUUAUCGAUAUUCAAUUUUCACUUUGAUCAUAAUUUCACUUACGCUCAUAUAGUU
This is a long non-coding RNA of Apis mellifera (honey bee), 1546 nucleotides long. RefSeq lists it as uncharacterized. The transcript is spliced from 4 exons. NCBI's taxonomy places the organism in Eukaryota, Metazoa, Arthropoda, Insecta, Hymenoptera, Apidae. The record is from RefSeq and is a predicted model, not a curated record.